CCUACGGGUGGCAGCAGUCGAGAAUCAUUCACAAUGGGGGAAACCCUGAUGGUGCGACGCCGCGUGGGGGAAUGAAGGUCUUCGGAUUGUAAACCUCUGUCAUGUGGGAGCAAAUUAAAAAGAUAGUACUACAAGAGGAAGAGACGGCGAACUCGGUGCCACCAGCUGCGGUAAUACAGAGGUCUCAAGCGUUGAUCGGAAUCACUUGGCGUAAAGCGUUCGUAGGCUGUUUCGUAAGUCGUGUGUGAAAGGGGCGGGCUCAACCCGCGGACGGCCCAUGAUACUGCGAGACUAGAGUAAUGGAGGGGUAACCGGAAUACGCGGUGUAGCAGUGAAAUGCGUAGAUAUCGAGAGGAACACUCGUGGCGAAGGCAGGUUCCUAGACAUUAACUGACGCUGAGGCACGAAGGCCAGGGGAGCGAAAGGGAUUAGAUACCCUGGUAGUC
Molecule: ribosomal RNA, 446 nt
Filed under: uncultured bacterium
Lineage: Bacteria
Description: partial 16S ribosomal RNA
Rfam family: Bacterial small subunit ribosomal RNA
Source: RNAcentral